Molecule: ribosomal RNA, 253 nt
Filed under: uncultured Lachnospiraceae bacterium
Lineage: Bacteria; Bacillati; Bacillota; Clostridia; Lachnospirales; Lachnospiraceae
Description: partial 16S ribosomal RNA
Rfam family: Bacterial small subunit ribosomal RNA
Source: RNAcentral
UACGUAUGGGGCAAGCGUUAUCCGGAUUUACUGGGUGUAAAGGGAGCGUAGGCGGCAGGGCAAGCCUGAUGUGAAAGCCCGGGGCUCAACCCCGGGACUGCAUUGGGAACUGCCCCGCUCGAGUGCCGGAGGGGCAGGCGGAAUUCCUAGUGUAGCGGUGAAAUGCGUAGAGAUUAGGAAGAACACCAGUGGCGAAGGCGAUUCUCUGGACUGUAACUGACGCUGAGGCUCGAAAGCGUGGGGAGCAAACAGG